RNAcentral lists this ribosomal RNA (324 nucleotides) under uncultured bacterium. RNAcentral's name for it is "bacterial SSU rRNA". It matches the Rfam family "Bacterial small subunit ribosomal RNA", at positions 28 to 352 of the family's 1533-position model. The record is from RNAcentral.
GAUAAACGCUGGCGGCGUGCCUAAUGCAUGCAAGUCGAACGGGUCGCAGCUUCGGCUGUGGUCAGUGGCGGACGGGUGAGGAACACGUACGCAACCUGCCCUCUGGGUGGGGAAUAACCCUUCGAAAGAGGGGCUAAUGCCGCAUCCGCUCACCUGGGUAAGGCUGGGUGAGGAAAGCCCGUGAGGGCGCUGGAGGAGGGGCGUGCGGCCGAUUAGCUAGUUGGUGGGGUAACGGCCUCCCAAGGCGGUGAUCGGUAGCUGGUCUGAGAGGAUGAUCAGCCACACUGGGACUGAGAGACGGCCCAGACUCCUACGGGAGGCAGC